Potamilus streckersoni is the source of this 73-nucleotide non-coding RNA. The record is from the annotation of a GenBank genome assembly. NCBI's taxonomy places the organism in Eukaryota, Metazoa, Mollusca, Bivalvia, Unionida, Unionidae.
GCUCCGGUGGCGUAGUGGUUAGAGCGUUCGCUUCGGAUGCAGGAGCUGGCGAGUUCGAAUCCCGGCUGAGUCA